RNAcentral lists this ribosomal RNA (1516 nucleotides) under metagenome. RNAcentral describes it as "bacterial SSU rRNA". It matches the Rfam family "Bacterial small subunit ribosomal RNA". The record is from RNAcentral.
AGAGUUUGAUUCUGGCUCAGAAUGAACGCCGGCGGCGUGUUUUAGGCAUGCAAGUCGAACGUGAAAGUCCCUUCGGGGGCAAGUAAAGUGGCGGACUGGUGAGUAUCGCGUGGGUAAUCUACCUUAUAGUUGGGGAUAAUAUCGCGAAAGUGGUGCUAAUACCGAAUGUGGUUUAGCGGUCUCCGGACUGCUUAACUAAAGGUGGCGUAAGCUGCCGCUAUAAGAUGAGCCUGCGUCCUAUUAGCUUGUUGGUAGGGUAAUAGCCUACCAAGGCGAUGAUGGGUAGCCGACCUGAGAGGGUGACCGGCCACAUUGGGACUGAGAUACGGCCCAGACUCCUACGGGAGGCAGCAGCCAAGAAUAUUCCGCAAUGGGCGAAAGCCUGACGGAGCGACGCCGCGUGGACGAUGAAGGCUUUCGGGUUGUAAAGUCCUUUCGAGCGGGAAUAUUUUUCGUGCGGUUAAUACCCGCAUGGAUUGACUGUACCGCUGGAAGAAGCCCCGGCUAAUUACGUGCCAGCAGCCGCGGUAAUACGUAUGGGGCGAGCGUUAUUCGGAUUUAUUGGGCGUAAAGCGUAUGUAGGUGGUUCGUUAAGUUGAGGGUGAAAUUUUCAGGCUUAACCUGAAAACUGCUCUCAAGACUGGCGGACUAGAGCUCGGGAGAGGAGAAUGGAAUUCCAGGUGUAGGGGUGAAAUCUGUAGAUAUCUGGAAGAACACCAGUGGCGAAGGCGAUUCUCUGGCCCGAAACUGACACUGAGAUACGAAAGCUAGGGGAGCGAACGGGAUUAGAUACCCCGGUAGUCCUAGCCGUAAACGUUGAUCACUCGGUGCUGGAAGUAUGGACUUUCAGUGCCUAAGCUAACGCGUUAAGUGAUUCGCCUGGGGAGUACGCCGGCAACGGUGAAACUCAAAGAAAUUGACGGGGGCCCGCACAAGCGGUGGAGCAUGUGGCUCAAUUCGAUAUACGCGAGGAACCUUACCAGGGUUUGACAUGCUGGCAGUAGAAGUCUGAAAAGAUAACGACCGGUAUCCAGUCCGGAACCAGCACAGGUGCUGCAUGGUUGUCGUCAGCUCGUGUCGUGAGAUGUUGGGUUAAGUCCCGUAACGAGCGCAACCCCUAUCCUCAGUUGCCAGCAAGGCGCAAGCUGUUGGGCACUCUGAAGAGACUGCCGGUAAAAAGCCGGAGGAAGGUGGGGAUGACGUCAAAUCCUCAUGGCCUUUAUAUCCUGGGCUGCACACGUGCUACAAUGGCCAGUACAAAGGGUUGCCAUACCGCAAGGUUUAGCUAAUCCCAUAAAGCUGGUCCCAGUUCGGAUCGUAGUCUGCAACUCGACUACGUGAAGUCGGAAUCGCUAGUAAUCGCGCAUCAGAACGGCGCGGUGAAUACGUUCCCGGGCCUUGUACACACCGCCCGUCAUAUCAUCCGAGUUGGAUGCACUUGAAUUUACUGAGCUAACCGUAAGGGGGCAGGUAAUGAAAGUGUAUUUGGUAAGGAGGAUAAAGUCGUAACAAGGUA